RNAcentral lists this ribosomal RNA (3063 nucleotides) under Triticum aestivum (bread wheat). RNAcentral describes it as "partial small subunit ribosomal RNA". Lineage: Eukaryota; Viridiplantae; Streptophyta; Magnoliopsida; Poales; Poaceae. The record is from RNAcentral.
AUGGACGGAUCGACGAACAAUAACAAUGAUGGAAUGCCACAGGACUGUAAAAUGGUACAUGGUGACCCCAGUAUUCAUGCCGCCAUGAUGUCCAUGCAGGAAAGUGAGGUGGUGAUUGGAAGGGAAAUGAUCGAUGGCAGUGAUAUGAACAGUGGUAACAAAACCAGUUGUGAUGUUGAGAUGAGUCGAGCAGAUGAAUCUGUGAGAGCUUGUGGCAACGGCACUACCGAGGCAUUAGCACCAACCGCAAGUGAAUUGAUCAAUGGCAGUGAUAUGAGCAGUGGUAACAAAACCGCUUCUGAUGUUGAGAUGAGUCGAGCAGAUGAAUCUGUGAGAGCUUGUGGCAACGGUACGACCAAGGCAUUAGCACCAACUGCAUCAAGUUGCAACACCAAUGAGAAGCCCACGACAUCGGACCAUUUCACCCUUGAGACUGUUUCUGAAGAAUGCAAGGAAAUCCGUUGCAACCGUUGCUGGAAAACUUUUGCAUACAUCUCUGGCUCAAAAGUCAGAAGUGCUAGUCAUCUGAAGAGGCAUGUGUACUCAUGUCGUGGAAGUGGAACAAAAAGCCUAGGACGGCCUUCAAUAGGCGGGAGAGACAGAGACAGUCGUAGCAGUAGUUUCCAAAUUGAGGCGCCUGAUGGUCAUAAGAAGGAUGAAGAAACCAAAGCCAAAAUUCAGUAUACAAGGCCUAUUCCGUUUCCUCUUAAAUGUCCGGGAUAUGCAGUCGUAGACAUGAAGGGCAGCCCGCACAAUGUCUGGCUGCGUUGGCGCAGAGCUAUACUCACUUUUCGUCUGUGGUGUUUCAAUACGAGUGACCAGAGGUAUCAGUUUGGGCAUCCUCACAAGCUGAGCUGCGUGCUUCCUAAGUCGGGCCAUUUCUUAUUCUAUUUCUGCAUCGGCUCAACAAAUUGGCUUUGCGCCGUUAUUGAUGGUCCUUCCGGUUACCUCGAUGGCUACAUCACAAGGAGUACUGGAAAGCACUAUGAACUCAGGGUCAGGGAAAAUCAAGCGAAGGUACAGAAGGGACAGAAGGGACAGAAGGGACAGAAGGGUCCACAACCACGUCUUAUUGAGAAAGCAAAGGAGCUACCUUGGCCUGGAACUUAUUCCGUUGGUUCAUCUUGCAGGCUGGGCUUUCAUGGCUUGUUUUGGUCAGUCAAGACUAUGCAUCAGUUCGUUGAGACAGGCUUAGAUAAUGGUUUCGUGGAGCGUGCCGGCCAAACCAUUAUAGUGCAUACUUCCGAGGCAGGCAGGUCUGAUAGUCUAAUGGAGGACAUCGAUGACUGUUUCUGUUCGGACGAUGCACAUCGCUUAGGCUCGGAAAGACUUGGGAAAGCCCAGAACUGGUCAAACGACUCUCGAGAUGCACAGUUGGAAAUGGAAGAUAUAACACCUUGCAAACAUGACAGAGCCAAUGGAUCCAAACGAAAAUCUGUUUCUGAUGAAAAUGAGGCACAGACACCUGAAAUGGUGAAGGCAGUUGAAUCUAUUGAGACAUUCAGACUUUUCCAUCGUCCGAAACAUGAGCAUGGCAAAUUUUUGCUGGAUAAUAUGCCCAUAAAACUCUCCAGUAGUGGUCCAGUUAAUUAUCAACGGAAACCUGACUUGGACCUUACUUCUGCGAGAUUUCUGACCGAGAGAUUCAAAUACAAGAGCCCCAUUUUAAGAGAGGACUUGGACAACAAGAACAAGACAAUCAAAACCAAGUUUCAGCCUGCUAGUGUCAAGCCACCAGCUGUGGAACUGGAGCGUCUAGAAGAACAUGAAGCUAAUGAGGCUAAGGAAAGUGUUACACAGGAAAUGGGUGUAUCUUUUGAGAUACAUGGUGCUGACACUUCUGUUUCGUCCUCACCAACUGCUAGUGUCAAAUUUACAAGGCCAGUAGACAGUUACUCAGAUAUUAUGAGGGGUGCUGGGAUAGAUGCUGCACCUCAUGAUUUGAAUCUGCUUGAUUGUAACUCUUACAUGACGGUUGAUCGAAGGCCUCAGCCAAUGAAACAUAAGCAGCUCUUCAAUGGACAUUAUUCUGGUCUUCGCAACCUGCACGGCGUAACGUGCUACAUGAAUUCGACAUUACAAUGUCUACGUGCUAUUCCGGAGCUUAAGGAAGCGAUCAAAAGUUACCCUGAUAAUGCGGAGGGUGCUUCGGUUGAUGGUGCACACCAUAAUUUGACCCUUGCAGCCCGGGACAUUUUUCUGAGGCUUGAUCAAAGUGAUGGACCAGUAAAAACUGAACAAUUCUUUGAGAUGCUAUUGACAGCUCAUCCUCAGUUUUCUGAACGGCAUGAAGGUGCAUACAUGCAGCAGGAUGCACAAGAGUUCUGGUCACUGUUUCUUGAAACAUUGUCAGCAACUCUUCCAUCAAAAGGAAGUGAGCCUACCACUGACUGGAUGAAGAAAAUGUUUCAGAUUGAUUGUGUGACGAGGACAAAUUGUGUAGAAAGUGGCGAAACUGGCUCCAAGCCAGAUUCAAGUUAUAUCCUGACGUGUACUUUAGCAAAUGAUAUACAAAAUAUCCAACAAGGACUGAAGCGUGGUAUGCGUACUGAAGUCACGAAGCAUUCUCCAUCGUUGCAACGCGAUGCUAUUCAUAUAAAUGAGGCAUACAUAAAUCAGUUACCAAGAUAUCUAACAGUACGACUACCGAGGUUAGAUUGGCAAAAUACAGCACAAAGCCCCAUCAAGAUUUUCCAGAAAGUCGAAUUUCCAACUGAACUGGAUAUGCAUGACUUAUGCUCUAUUGAACUAAAGCAAAAGAUUCAAGCUUCUAUACAGGCUCUGGAACAUUCCAGCAUGGAUGUUGAUCAUGUUGAUUCUUCAAAACCUGAGAAAGCAUUAACUGCGAUAUACGAUUUAGUGGCUGUCCUGACACAUCAGGGCCGGAGCGCACUUUUUGGGCACUAUGUUGCCUGGGUCAAGCACCAAAGUGGACGCUGGAUACAGUUCAAUGAUCAUGUUACAUCGCUACAUGACGAAAGUGAGGUUCUGAGCCUAUGUGGUGGCAGCGAUCAAGACAAGCACACGGCCUAUAUCUGUGUUUACAAAGCUCGCUUAGUUUGA